Molecule: ribosomal RNA, 440 nt
Filed under: uncultured bacterium
Lineage: Bacteria
Description: partial 16S ribosomal RNA
Rfam family: Bacterial small subunit ribosomal RNA
Source: RNAcentral
CCUACGGGUGGCAGCAGUGGGGAAUAUUGCACAAUGGGGGAAAGCCUGAUGCAGCGACGCCGCGUGAGUGAAGAAGUCUCUAGGUAUGUAAAGCUCUAUCAGCAGGGAAGAAAAUGACGGUACGUGACUGAGAAGCGACGGCAAACUACGUGCCAGCAGCCGCGGGAAUACGGAGGGGUGACGCGUUAUCCGGAAUGACUGGGUGUAAAGGGGGCGUAGACGGCGCUGCAAGGUCGUAGUGAAAGCCCAGGGCUUAACCAUGGUACUGCUCUUGAAACUGUAGAGCUUGAGUGCGAGAGAGGCAUGCGGAAUUCCUGGUGUAGCGGUGAAAUGCGUAGAUAUCAGGAGGAACACCGGCUGCGAAGGCGGCAUGCUGGAUCGAAACUGACGCUGAGGCGCGAAAGCGUGGGGAGCAAACAGGAUUAGAUACCCCAGUAGUC